UGAGCGGGGUAAAGCCAGAGG
RNAcentral lists this small nuclear RNA (21 nucleotides) under Arabidopsis thaliana (thale cress). Its description in RNAcentral is "snRNA_02808". The record is from RNAcentral. Lineage: Eukaryota; Viridiplantae; Streptophyta; Magnoliopsida; Brassicales; Brassicaceae.